Long non-coding RNA from Tribolium castaneum (red flour beetle), 481 nucleotides. RefSeq lists it as uncharacterized. The transcript is spliced from 3 exons. The record is from RefSeq and is a predicted model, not a curated record. NCBI's taxonomy places the organism in Eukaryota, Metazoa, Arthropoda, Insecta, Coleoptera, Tenebrionidae.
UAAUUAUAUACAUAAAAACUACUAAACGACAUGUUUUAUUUAAUAAAGAAAGAUUUCAAGUUCUGUAAUUUUCGACAUUGUUGCCAACAUUGAAUAGUUAUUUCAGUUUAAUUUACAAUAAAAACCUUAAAAGUUGUCAUUGACCUUUGCGUGACAUAACCUCGAUAGUCUGUCCACAUUUUCCAAGAUUCUGUAUAAAAAUGCGCCGUAUUCAAGGGAAUUUCGGCUCAAGGGAUCCGGAGGAGGACCGUAAAAAGAGCCGUGAAUCAGUUUUGGCGAAUUUGGUUUUGUUUUGCUCGAUUGUGGUGAUCAUACGAGUGGCCCCGAUUGUGGUAAACAGCCUAUAAUGGGGGCACGUUUUGGUCUUCGCAAUGUGGGACUGAAUGUUGUGAUGUAAUAAAGUUUUAUACGUUUUUCAUUAUUUGUAUGACUUGUAAAUUACUUGGAGUGUAGAAAAGCCGAAUAAAGUCAUGUAAUCAGA